GAUGAACGCUGGCGGCGUGCCUAACACAUGCAAGUCGAACGAAGCUUGACGGAUGAUUUCUUCGGAAUGAAACCAGAUAUGACUUAGUGGCGGACGGGUGAGUAACACGUGAGCAACCUGCCUUUCAGAGGGGGAUAACGGCUGGAAACGGUCGCUAAUACCGCAUGAUGUGUUCGGAUGGCAUCAUCUGAACAUCAAAGAUUUAUCGCUGAAAGAUGGGCUCGCGUCUGAUUAGAUAGUUGGUGGGGUAACGGCCUACCAAGUCUACGAUCAGUAGCCGGACUGAGAGGUUGAACGGCCACAUUGGGACUGAGAUACGGCCCAGACUCCUACGGGAGGCAGCAGUGGGGAAUAUUGCACAAUGGGGGAAACCCUGAUGCAGCAACGCCGCGUGAAGGAUGACGGUUUUCGGAGUGUAAACUUCUUUUCUUAGUGACGAAGACAGUGACGGUAGCCAAGGAAUAAGCAUCGGCUAACUACGUG
Molecule: ribosomal RNA, 483 nt
Filed under: uncultured bacterium
Lineage: Bacteria
Description: partial 16S ribosomal RNA
Rfam family: Bacterial small subunit ribosomal RNA
Source: RNAcentral